RNAcentral lists this ribosomal RNA (44 nucleotides) under Colletotrichum truncatum. Its description in RNAcentral is "partial 18S ribosomal RNA". RNAcentral also lists the same sequence under 2 other names. Lineage: Eukaryota; Fungi; Ascomycota; Sordariomycetes; Glomerellales; Glomerellaceae. The record is from RNAcentral.
UAACAAGGUCUCCGUUGGUGAACCAGCGGAGGGAUCAUUACUGA